AACGCUAGCUACAGGCUUAACACAUGCAAGUCGAGGGGCAGCAUGACCUAGCAAUAGGUUGAUGGCGACCGGCGCACGGGUGAGUAACACGUAUCCAACCUACCGGUUAUUCUGGGAUAGCCUUUCGAAAGAAAGAUUAAUACCGGAUAGUAUAACGAGAAGGCAUCUUUUUGUUAUUAAAGAAUUUCGAUAAUCGAUGGGGAUGCGUUCCAUUAGUUUGUUGGCGGGGUAACGGCCCACCAAGACAUCGAUGGAUAGGGGUUCUGAGAGGAAGGUCCCCCACAUUGGAACUGAGACACGGUCCAAACUCCUACGGGAGGCAGCAGUGAGGAAUAUUGGUCAAUGGACGAGAGUCUGAACCAGCCAAGUAGCGUGAAGGAUGACUGCCCUAUGGGUUGUAAACUUCUUUUAUAUGGGAAUAAAGUGAGCCACGUGUGGCUUUUUGUAUGUACCAUACGAAUAAGGAUCGGCUAACUCCGUGCCAGCAGCCGCGGUAAUACGGAGGAUCCGAGCGUUAUCCGGAUUUAUUGGGUUUAAAGGGAGCGUAGGCGGACUAUUAAGUCAGCUGUGAAAGUUUGCGGCUCAACCGUAAAAUUGCAGUUGAUACUGGUCGUCUUGAGUGCAGUAGAGGUAGGCGGAAUUCGUGGUGUAGCGGUGAAAUGCUUAGAUAUCACGAAGAACUCCGAUUG
RNAcentral lists this ribosomal RNA (689 nucleotides) under uncultured Bacteroides sp. RNAcentral's name for it is "bacterial SSU rRNA". It matches the Rfam family "Bacterial small subunit ribosomal RNA", at positions 32 to 715 of the family's 1533-position model. Lineage: Bacteria; Pseudomonadati; Bacteroidota; Bacteroidia; Bacteroidales; Bacteroidaceae. The record is from RNAcentral.